UGGGGAAUAUUGGGCAAUGGGCGCAAGCCUGACCCAGCAACGCCGCGUGAGGGAAGAAGGUCUUCGGAUUGUAAACCUCUGUCCUUGGGGACGAAAAAAAUGACGGUACCCAAGGAGGAAGCUCCGGCUAACUACGUGCCAGCAGCCGCGGUACUACGUAGGGAGCGAGCGUUGUCCGGAAUUACUGGGCGUAACGGGGGCGUAGGCGGCAUGGCAAGUCAGAUGUGAAAUCCCCGGGCUUAACUCGGGGGGUGCAUUGGAAACUGCUGUGCUUGAGUGCAGGAGAGGAAAGCGGAAUUCCUAGUGUAGCGGUGAAAUGCGUAGAUAUUAGGAGGAACACCAGUGGCGAAGGCGGCUUUCUGGACUGUAACUGACGCUGAGGCACGAAAGCGUGGGGAGCAAACA
This 405-nucleotide ribosomal RNA is filed under the name uncultured prokaryote. Its description in RNAcentral is "bacterial SSU rRNA". It matches the Rfam family "Bacterial small subunit ribosomal RNA", at positions 355 to 774 of the family's 1533-position model. The record is from RNAcentral.